UGAGAUGUAGCUCUGUUAGUAGAGUAUUUGUUUAGCAUGCAUGAAGCCCUGGGUUUGAUCCCCAGCACCAUAU
RNAcentral lists this transfer RNA (73 nucleotides) under Neotoma lepida (desert woodrat). It matches the Rfam family "tRNA". From Rfam's summary of the family: Transfer RNA (tRNA) molecules are approximately 80 nucleotides in length. Lineage: Eukaryota; Metazoa; Chordata; Mammalia; Rodentia; Cricetidae. The record is from Rfam by way of RNAcentral.